RNAcentral lists this small RNA (497 nucleotides) under Malus domestica (apple). RNAcentral's name for it is "sRNA MD16G0145900". The record is from RNAcentral. Lineage: Eukaryota; Viridiplantae; Streptophyta; Magnoliopsida; Rosales; Rosaceae.
AUGAUAUGGAUGUUAUGGUUGACAAAUUGGAUGAUGAAAUCAUGGCAAUAGAACUUGGUCCACCUAAUUUUAAAGAGGCCUUAUAAGAAACUUGGUUGCAAGGCAAGUUGGAAACGCACAAAAGUUUGAUCGUGUCCUAUAGAAUUGCCAGAGAAGGUCAUCUCCAUUUCGUGCAAAAUCAGAUUUCUUUCUACACACAAAAACACUAGGUAAACACGCAUUAGCCUUAUUUUGUUCAUGAUAUAAUUCUAUUGUCUAUAAAUUUAUUUCAAUUUUUUUCCCUUGCCUGGGAUGCUUCCUUAAUGAUCAACAUAGCAUAGGACAACUUUUAGUGUUGCAGAAAACAACAUUUUCCAUUAAUGUUUUUGGACAGGAAGCAAUUUGUGUUUUUUCGUAUCCAAAGAACGUAAUAGUUUUAAUGGACAAAGUAGGUUUCUCUUUUGAUAUUUAAAUUUGUUUCAUUCAUGAUGAGGUUGUGUAUAAUUUGCAUUGGCAUU